This is a long non-coding RNA of Armigeres subalbatus, 581 nucleotides long. RefSeq lists it as uncharacterized. Lineage: Eukaryota; Metazoa; Arthropoda; Insecta; Diptera; Culicidae. The transcript is spliced from 2 exons. The record is from RefSeq and is a predicted model, not a curated record.
AAAAAUUUGACAGCUCCGAGUUUUCACGAUCACCCGAUGAAAUCGGGUGCCUACCAAAUCGACCUAUUUUUACACCGACGACGUCGAUUGUCGUAGGCCACAUAUUUUCGUCGCCAGAUUUAUUGUAUGAUUAAGUCGCGAGCAAUCGGUGCCUAUUUCAUCGGUGAAAUAAUCGAUUGAUUGUGUAUUUAUUGCUUAUUUUGAUCGUCUGAUUAUUGAACAGACGAAAUCGGGUCCCUGUGUUUAUAAACAUAGAGUAAAGCAAAGUGUAGUAUUUGCUAUUUAAUUAAGUUAAACAAGAUCUUAAUUGUAAGAUUUUUCGGUUGUGACAUAUUCCGGAACAUCCCGGAGAAUGGUUAUCUUGUAGUAAGCGGUUAAUAAAGAAUCAUGAAGCUCGAGACAUCCCCGCACGAUUACAAAGUGUCUACGGUAUUCCUAGAAUGAUCAGACGUGCCACCCGAUUCGAUAUACAGAUUAAACCCCAUAUUUCGUCGGAUUCCAUGAUUAUCAACACCGAUUAAUUUACAGAUUUAGUCUAAUUUGCUAAAUGAUGAAAAUAAAUAAACCGAUUAAACACCCUA